GAUAAGGGUUAGUCUUGGCUGAUCUGUCCUCAUGGCUGUGAGGGAGAUUUGUGUUUGGAAGAAGCUCAUUUUCACCCUUUUUCUCUUUGCUGUUGAUGGACUUAAAGAACCAGGUUAUUCAUGGUGAAUUUCCCUGCGGUGAUUGAGUCUGGAUCUGACUCCAAAUUAUGCAUAACUCCUCUGAAACCCCAAGAGAUUGGUUGGGGUUUUCCCUCUGCUUUUGUUUCCAGGCUCCUCGGGUAGAUGGAGAUUUGGUGCUGAAGGUUGCGGUCGCCUGGGUCUUUGUGUCUCACUGCC
Molecule: non-coding RNA, 297 nt
Organism: Pimephales promelas (fathead minnow)
Lineage: Eukaryota; Metazoa; Chordata; Actinopteri; Cypriniformes; Leuciscidae
Source: RefSeq, a predicted model, not a curated record